RNAcentral lists this ribosomal RNA (274 nucleotides) under uncultured bacterium. RNAcentral's name for it is "partial 16S ribosomal RNA". It matches the Rfam family "Bacterial small subunit ribosomal RNA", at positions 523 to 796 of the family's 1533-position model. The record is from RNAcentral.
AUACGGAGGGUGCAAGCGUUACUCGGAAUCACUGGGCGUAAAGCGCGCGCAGGCGGUCUUUUAAGUUGGAUGUGAAAGCCUACGGCUCAACCGUAGAACUGCAUCCAAAACUAUUAGACUAGAGUGUGGGAGAGGAAGAUGGAAUUAGUUGUGUAGGGGUAAAAUCCGUAGAGAUAACUAGGAAUACCAAUAGCGAAGGCAAUCUUCUGGAACACUACUGACGCUGAGGCGCGAAAGCGUGGGGAGCAAACAGGAUUAGAUACCCUUGUAGUCC